GCAGUCGAGGGGUAUUGGUUUUCGGACCAAGAGACCGGCGCACGGGUGCGUAACGCGUAUGCAAUCUACCUUUCACAGAGGGAUAGCCCAGAGAAAUUUGGAUUAAUACCUCAUAGUAUGCAGAGUUGGCAUCAACCCUGCAUUAAAGUCACAACGGUGAAAGAUGAGCAUGCGUCCCAUUAGCUAGUUGGUAAGGUAACGGCUUACCAAGGCAACGAUGGGUAGGGGUCCUGAGAGGGAGAUCCCCCACACUGGUACUGAGACACGGACCAGACUCCUACGGGAGGCAGCAGUGAGGAAUAUUGGACAAUGGGCGCAAGCCUGAUCCAGCCAUGCCGCGUGCAGGAUGACGGUCCUAUGGAUUGUAAACUGCUUUUGUACGAGAAGAAACACUCCUUCGUGAAGGAGCUUGACGGUAUCGUAAGAAUAAGGAUCGGCUAACUCCGUGCCAGCAGCCGCGGUAAUACGGAGGAUCCAAGCGUUAUCCGGAAUCAUUGGGUUUAAAGGGUCCGUAGGCGGUUUAGUAAGUCAGUGGUGAAAGCCCAUCGCUCAACGGUGGAACGGCCAUUGAUACUGCUAGACUUGAAUUAUUAGGAAGUAACUAGAAUAUGUAGUGUAGCGGUGAAAUGCUUAGAGAUUACAUGGAAUACCAAUUGCGAAGGCAGGUUACUACUAAUGGAUUGACGCUGAUGGACGAAAGCGUGGGUAGCGAACAGGAUUAGAUACCCUGGUAGUCCACGCCGUAAACGAUGGAUACUAGCUGUUGGGAGCGAUCUCAGUGGCUAAGCGAAAGUGAUAAGUAUCCCACCUGGGGAGUACGUUCGCAA
Molecule: ribosomal RNA, 827 nt
Filed under: uncultured bacterium
Lineage: Bacteria
Description: bacterial SSU rRNA
Rfam family: Bacterial small subunit ribosomal RNA
Source: RNAcentral